This 531-nucleotide long non-coding RNA is filed under the name Homo sapiens (human). RNAcentral's name for it is "non-protein coding lnc-CHCHD7-1:3". Lineage: Eukaryota; Metazoa; Chordata; Mammalia; Primates; Hominidae. The record is from RNAcentral.
CUCUCUUGCUCUUCUUGCCAUGUGACACCUCGCCCUUCACCUUCUGCCAUGAGUAAAACUUCCUGGGGCCUUACCAGAAAUCAAGCAGAUACUGGCACUAUGCUUGUAGAGCCCGCAAAACUGAAGCUGAACUGACACGAAACAAAAGAAGUCCGUUGUUUUGGAUUGAGUUCCAUACUUGGCUGGCCCAGAGGUUGAUCUCACCACCAUUCAGAUAUCCAAGAAGAAGCCACCUGUUGGAUUUAAGAAAACCCAGGCAGAUUUGGCAGUCUUCUUGAAAGGAAGUAAUGCUUAUUGUGGUCAGAAGAAAGAGUGAGGCAACUCAGGGUCUGAAAAAAGAGACAUGAAGAAAGCUGAGGACCAAUCCAUUCCAAGGUUCACUGUGGAAAUGGGGCCCAACCCUUAAAAGGUGUGUCCAGAUAUUGGUCUUUUCUUUCUUUAGUCUGAUGUGAGUUGGACCCUGUACAUCAGCUACAACUCAGUCUCUGACACAUUACUGGGCAAAUCAAGCUAGGAAACCACACACUGGGG